Molecule: transfer RNA, 73 nt
Filed under: Emberiza spodocephala
Lineage: Eukaryota; Metazoa; Chordata; Aves; Passeriformes; Fringillidae
Description: Schoeniclus spodocephala tRNA-Asn
Source: RNAcentral
GGCAGAUGGGCUUUGAUCCCAUGAUAGUAUAGUUAACAGCUAUAUGCCCCAACCUUCAGGCUUCUGCCUAAGG